Chiloscyllium plagiosum (whitespotted bambooshark) is the source of this 787-nucleotide non-coding RNA. The record is from RefSeq and is a predicted model, not a curated record. NCBI's taxonomy places the organism in Eukaryota, Metazoa, Chordata, Chondrichthyes, Orectolobiformes, Hemiscylliidae.
CCCACCGCCAGGGGGGGUGGGAGUGGUGGAAGCACCCCCUCGGCCCAGCCUGACCCGGCCCGGAGCCGCCUGCAGUACGUGACCUCCCACCGCCAGGGGGGGGGGAAGCACCCCUUCGGCCCAGCCUGACCCGGCCCGGAGCCGCCUGCAGUACGUGACCUCCCACCGCCAGGGGGGGUGGGGGUGGUGGAAGCACCCCCUCGGCCCAGCCUGACCCGGCCCGGAGCCGCUGCAGUACGUGACCUCCCACCGCCAGGGGGAGCACCGCCUUGGUCUGGGAUCACAGGAAUUCCUAAAGAUGAGGAGACAGAUACUGAAACUGUAAUAUGCGAGAGAGCCUGCAGUCAAUUACAGAACCGGAUUCAAGUCCACAGCCCACCCUUAUCAGUGAAAGGGUAAAGUGGCAUUCUGUGCUGGAGUGCAGGAGGACUUGUUGUUUGGUGAACUCUAUUUGGAAGGGGAUGGCCAGAGCGACUGGUUCACAACUUAAGCAUUGCAUCAGCACUGAGCAGCACGCUUUGGUAAGAAUAUGAAGGCAUUGGCAAGGUGAACCACAAGCAAGGAAUACCGUGGAUGAGGAAAUGACAUCUUCAUGCAGAGUUCCAUCAUGGCAAAUGGCACAAGGUGAAGUAGGAAAGCACAAGUGCAAUUAAAUGAGAGAAAAAAAUAUGAAAUUCAACUUUUGUUUUCUGUGCGUCAGUCGGACGUUGUAAAGGGGAAAGAAAUGAGAAGAGACCUCAUUUGGUGCUUCACUGAGAUACUAGACUAGAUAUGUCGUGAUCUAGUA